Molecule: transfer RNA, 124 nt
Filed under: Puccinia graminis f. sp. tritici
Lineage: Eukaryota; Fungi; Basidiomycota; Pucciniomycetes; Pucciniales; Pucciniaceae
Rfam family: tRNA
About the family: Transfer RNA (tRNA) molecules are approximately 80 nucleotides in length. Their secondary structure includes four short double-helical elements and three loops (D, anti-codon, and T loops). Further hydrogen bonds mediate the characteristic L-shaped molecular structure. tRNAs have two regions of fundamental functional importance: the anti-codon, which is responsible for specific mRNA codon recognition, and the 3' end, to which the tRNAs corresponding amino acid is attached (by aminoacyl-tRNA synthetases). tRNAs cope with the degeneracy of the genetic code in two manners: having more than one tRNA (with a specific anti-codon) for a particular amino acid; and 'wobble' base-pairing, i.e. permitting non-standard base-pairing at the 3rd anti-codon position.
Source: Rfam by way of RNAcentral
GACAACGUGGCCGAGCGGUUAAGGCGAUUGACUAGAAUCUCGCUUCUAAGACUCGAUGCACCAGCAUCUCAUGUCUAUCAUCAAUUGGAGUUUCUCCGCGUAGGUUCAAAUCCUGCCGUUGUCG